GAAGUCUGACGAGGAUGAGAACCUCCGGGGGCAAGAGGUUCGACUCGAGCGAAGCGAGAGAACGUUGCGCCAGCAACGGCCCGCAGGGCGAGCCACGCAGUGGCGAGUCAUCCUCUAUCACCGACCA
This 127-nucleotide small RNA is filed under the name Salmonella enterica. RNAcentral describes it as "partial RtT sRNA". It matches the Rfam family "RtT RNA", at positions 15 to 130 of the family's 130-position model. Rfam says of the family: This family represents a bacterial cis-regulatory element known as RtT RNA. Lineage: Bacteria; Pseudomonadati; Pseudomonadota; Gammaproteobacteria; Enterobacterales; Enterobacteriaceae. The record is from RNAcentral.